ACUCAGUGACCUCUGCUCCUGUGGAUUGAGUCUUGUUAACUUUAAAAUCUGCGUCCAGUUCAACAAAGACGACAGACUACUAGUCAUACAGCAAGUGGCUCUUUCACCUGCAUCUGUUCAUCCUGUCGCAUUAAUGGUGAAGACAGCUGUCCCCAUUAUGCUUCAGUGGGGUGAAGUAUAGUGAGAAC
This 188-nucleotide long non-coding RNA is filed under the name Anser brachyrhynchus (Pink-footed goose). Its description in RNAcentral is "lncRNA (ENSABRG00000004938.1)". The record is from RNAcentral. Lineage: Eukaryota; Metazoa; Chordata; Aves; Anseriformes; Anatidae.